This 463-nucleotide ribosomal RNA is filed under the name uncultured bacterium. RNAcentral's name for it is "partial 16S ribosomal RNA". It matches the Rfam family "Bacterial small subunit ribosomal RNA", at positions 355 to 831 of the family's 1533-position model. The record is from RNAcentral.
UGGGGAAUAUUACACAAUGGGCGAAAGCCUGAUGCAGCGACGCCGCGUGAGGGAUGACGGCCUUCGGUUGUAAACCUCUUUCAGCAGGGAAGAAGCGAAAGUGACGGUACCUGCAGAAGAAGCGCCGGCUAACUACGUGCCAGCAGCCGCGGUAAUACGUAGGGCGCAAGCGUUGUCCGGAAUUAUUGGGCGUAAAGAGCUCGUAGGCGGUUAGUCGCGUCUGCUGUGAAAACUCGAGGCUCAACCUCGGGCUUGCAGUGGGUACGGGCUGACUAGAGUGCGGUAGGGGUGACUGGAAUUCCUGGUGUAGCGGUGGAAUGCGCAGAUAUCAGGAGGAACACCGAUGGCGAAGGCAGGUCACUGGGCCGCAACUGACGCUGAGGAGCGAAAGCAUGGGGAGCGAACAGGAUUAGAUACCCUGGUAGUCCAUGCCGUAAACGUUGGGCACUAGGUGUGGGGUCCA